Molecule: long non-coding RNA, 1491 nt
Filed under: Ananas comosus (pineapple)
Lineage: Eukaryota; Viridiplantae; Streptophyta; Magnoliopsida; Poales; Bromeliaceae
Description: long non-coding RNA (ACOM_LNC025133)
Source: RNAcentral
AUCAUAAUCAUACAGGACAAAAAUGUUGCUUAUUAAAGGUUUUGCUAGUUCGCAAAGAGAGUUCGACUGGUGAUUUGAUAAAGAACGGAUGAACAGGUACCCAUUCGGUUUCAAGUGGAACUGGUUCAACCGAUUUUUAAAACAUUCACUCGGUUUUAGAAAUUGCCAUUCAUAUUUAAAAGCUAGUGACGUGUUUAAGCAAUCCUAUUCCCAGAGGUUUAUUCUAAGAAACAACUUCCCCAACUAACCUAAAAGGUAGAACAAAGAUCUGCUGAUAGGAAAACUGGAUAACAAAUAUUGGAACUUAGAAGAAAAAGAAAAAAGAGUAAUAGUAGUAGGCAAAGUAAUGAUCAUCAAAAGGUGAUAGAGUGGCUACUAAUUAAGCAAACCCACUCUUAUAUAGAAGAUCAAACCAUUUCAGAUUAUUUAAGCAGAACUUUAGGACAACACAUAACUACUAACACCAUUACAUUUCUAGUUCUCUCUUUGAAUCAAAGUUUUUGAUGGUAACAAAAUGCUCAAAAUAUCAAAAUCAAAUCAGGAGCGCUGAUCUUAAAAGAGAAUGACAUAGACGGCAGAUGACAGAGCGGUCCAUGAAUGACGUGGUGAACCAUGUCGAUUUUCUCGUCUAUGGGCUUUGAUAGCCGAGCUAGGCCGAAUGGACCGAUAAAUGGCCCAGAUGGAUUUGGUUUGGCCUCGUUGGAGACUCCGUUGAUAAGUAUAUUUAGUUGGGCCUAAGUCUAUUUUUGGGCCAUCUCGUUUUUACCCAAAUAUAGAACUAUUUGUGCAAAAAUUAAAUCUUUAUUAAUUGUGCACAAAAGGUUAAAAUAUGUGGAGACUCCGUCUACUAUAGACCGUUUUGAAAUAGACCCUAACUUUUUUUUUUUUGAUUGAAUUUUAUUAAAUUUAAUGCCUCUAUUAGUUAUUAUUUAUUGAUUUGUCUAGUUAACGAACAUGAAAGCAUGUCUAAUUUAAAUGAUUACUAUAUCACCCUAUUACUCGGGGUCUCCAUACAUACACUUUUACCCCUACAAAAUCUUUCAUGCCCUGUUUCAACUGUCCCCCAGUUAAUGCUGUUAAUUGUAUUAACAUAUUUCAUGAAUUGUCGACCAUCAGGUUGUCGACAUUUGGACUGAGCCAGCUGUGAUGUACUUACGUUGUCAUGUCAUCUAGCGAGUAUCUUAUACCAGAUAUGAAUCGCGAACUCUAAAACAGAAUGCCGAGCUCUCUGCAAAGCAGGCUCCAUGUGGUGAGAUGAUCUAUACGGGAGGUGGACUAACCAAUUGUCCUGAUGCUCGAAAAGAUAAAACAAAAAAAAAAAAAAAAAAAAAUAAAGGAAAAAAAAANAUCUCGUUUUUGCCCAAAUAUAGAACUAUUUGUGCAAAAAUUAAAUCUUUAUUAAUUAUGCACAAAAGGUUAAAAUAUGUGGAGACUCCGUCUACUAUAGACCGUUUUGAAAUAGACCCUAACUUUUUUUUUUGAUUGAAUUUU